RNAcentral lists this long non-coding RNA (1640 nucleotides) under Helicoverpa zea (corn earworm). RNAcentral describes it as "uncharacterized LOC124633839". Lineage: Eukaryota; Metazoa; Arthropoda; Insecta; Lepidoptera; Noctuidae. The record is from RNAcentral.
GUGGGUCUGUCGCGAUAUACUCACCCGUGAGCCGCGUCUUAGUCUUCUACUCAAGCAAAAACGACAAAAAAAGCAUGGAGGAAAGCACGUAAAAAGGGUAUCACACCGCGGAAGCUACACAAAGAGGUAUAGAAAAAACACUUGUCAGGAUUAAGCAUUCGAAAAGCAGCAAAAACUGCAACCUUUUCUAUCCAAUAUUGCGACAGACGAAGUGCUUGUGCGAAGAUAUGUCACAAACAAAGUACAGGAACAAUCCGUCUUGUAGACAAGAGCCCCAUUAUGAUGCAAGUAAUUUUUUUACUGCCCAACAUGAAGACAGCAUAAUGAAAUGUUGAUUGUUACAAUUUGUUAUUUGGACAAUAAAAAUACAUAAGUCUGAAUGUGAUAGAGAAUCACAUUCAGACUUAUGAAUGGUCCCGGUGACUGUAAGCUUGUUCAGACUGAUUUGGCUAACAUAGAAAAUUGGUGCACAGCUAACUGUAUGACCCUAAAUCCCCAAAAAUGCUUUUUCAUGCGAUUUUCUAGAAAAAAAACGUCCUUCCCUACUACUUACACAAUAUGUAAUACUGCAUUAAAAAGAGUAGAUGAAAUGCGUGAUCUAGGUGUACUGAUAGACGCCAAACUUAAUUUCAAAGCACAUAUCAAUGAUGUUGUAAAAAAGUCCGCACAGAUGCUAGGAUUCGUGAAGCGUAACGCUCGUGGCUUCCAAUUACCAAAGACACGAAUAGUCUUAUUUAACACCUUGGUACGUAGUCGGAUAGAGUAUGCAAGUGUAGUUUGGAACCCUUUCUACGCAGUACAUUCGCAAAGAGUCGAGGGAGUACAAAGAGCUUUCAGCAAACAUCUAGCGUUUAAUUCAAAUAAAAUAAGCCAUCGAUGUCCGUACAUACAGCGCUUGCAGUCCUUCAAAAUGAAGACACUGCGUGACCGACGUCGUUUGCGUGAUCUCAUAUUUCUUUAUAAGAUUGUGAAUGGACACACAAAAUGCAGCGACUUAACAGAACGCAUCCUCUACUCAGUCCCUUCGAAGCCUCCCAGACAUCCUAAUACCAGAAUGUUUUUCAUCCCUAAAGUCAAAAGUAACCUAGGCCUUAACGCUCCCCUACUCAGGAUUUGCAAUGAGUUUAACAGUCUUUGUAAAUUAACGAAUACCGACAUUCAUGUUUGUUCCAUUAAAAAAUUUAGAAAAACUAUCUCAGAGAUAUGGGAAUGCAAUUAAUAGCAAUAAAUAUUAAAAUAGUUUAUUCUAGUUCUUAAGUCACACUUGCUCAGAAAUACUAAUAACGUUUGUUAAAUAUUAAUAGUGUUGUUGUUAUAAAUGAUGUGUAUACCUGUAAUAGGCAUACAUACCAGUAAUGUAAUUUUUAACGUAUUUUUAUAACUUCUGUGUAUGUAUUGCUGUUGGUGUACCUAAUAAAUAAAUAAAUAAAUAAAAACACGUCGACUUUAUAAUGCUAAGAGCAUUUUAAUUCAUAUAAAUAUACAAGUACAAAAUGUUUUUUCUUUUUUCCCGGAAAGAGUUUGUGCGUAACUUUUAAGAUGUUCAUAAUUAUUGUUAAAAAUUAAGUUUUAAGGCUGAUUUGUUGGUUCUUAUAUGUAUGUAUAACACGAAACUUAAUAAUUAUAAAAAGUUAUAAAUA